This is a transfer RNA of 92 nucleotides. It matches the Rfam family "tRNA". Rfam says of the family: Transfer RNA (tRNA) molecules are approximately 80 nucleotides in length.
GGUGAGAUGGCCGAGCGGUCUAAGGCGCCAGACUAAGGACAUUGUUCGUAAUCUGGUCCGAAAGGGCGUGGGUUCGAAUCCCACUCUCAUCA